AUUGAACGCUGGCGGCAUGCCUAACACAUGCAAGUCGAGCGAGCGGAGGACGGGUGAGUAAUGUCUGGGAAACUGCCUGAGGGAGGGGGAUAACUACGGGAAAAGGUAGCUAAUACCGCAUACCAUCAGAUGAGCCCAGAUGGGAUUAGCUAUCAGGUGGGGGAACGACUCACCUAGGCGACGAUCCCUAGCUGGUCUGAGCGGAUGACCAGCCACACUGGCAAUGAGCAACUGUCCAGACGCAUACGGGAGGCAGCAGUGGGGAAUCUUGCACAAUGGGGGCAAGCCUGAUGCAGCCAUGCCGCGUGUGUGAAGAAGGCCUUAGGGUUGUAAAGCACUUUCAGCGGUGAGGCGUUACCCGCAGAAGAAGCACCGGCUAACUCCGGGCCAGCAGCCGCGGUAAUAC
This 406-nucleotide ribosomal RNA is filed under the name uncultured bacterium. RNAcentral's name for it is "partial 16S ribosomal RNA". It matches the Rfam family "Bacterial small subunit ribosomal RNA", at positions 29 to 526 of the family's 1533-position model. The record is from RNAcentral.